This is a non-coding RNA of Dipodomys ordii (Ord's kangaroo rat), 70 nucleotides long. NCBI's taxonomy places the organism in Eukaryota, Metazoa, Chordata, Mammalia, Rodentia, Heteromyidae. The record is from Rfam.
GGGACGGUGGUUCAGUGGUAGAGCACUUGCCUUGCAUGCACGAGGCCCUGGGUUCGAUUCCUUAGUACCA